RNAcentral lists this long non-coding RNA (200 nucleotides) under Nicotiana benthamiana. RNAcentral describes it as "long non-coding RNA (NBEN_LNC031009)". The record is from RNAcentral. Lineage: Eukaryota; Viridiplantae; Streptophyta; Magnoliopsida; Solanales; Solanaceae.
AAAAGUGUUUUUACCUCAAAAGAAACUUGACCAAACAUGAUAUAAGAAUCUCAUGUUCAAAUUAUAGAAAUAGAGAAAUUUCUAAUAACAACGCUUUCACUUAAAUAAAUUUUACAUGGUGCGAGUCCUAUUUAGUUAGACAAAUAGCUACAAGGUAUUAGAUGGUUAAACAACAAAAUAAAAAGCAGCAUUGGGAGCCC